CAAACAUUAGCUGGUGCGGUGGCACGGGCCUGUAGUCCUAUCUGCUCUGGAGGCUGAGGUGGGAGGGUCACUUGAGCCUAGGAGGUGGAGGCUGCAGUGAGCUGUGAUCAUGCCACUGCACUGGGUGACAGAGGGAGACCCUGUCACACACAAACACACAUACACACACACCAUGGACUUAGAAAAAAUUCCAGGAUACUU
RNAcentral lists this long non-coding RNA (201 nucleotides) under Homo sapiens (human). RNAcentral describes it as "HSALNT0214746". The record is from RNAcentral. Lineage: Eukaryota; Metazoa; Chordata; Mammalia; Primates; Hominidae.